UAGCUUGCUAGGGGGAUUAGUGGCGAACGGGUGAGUAAUAUAUCGGAACGUGCCUUGUAAUGGGGGAUAACUAGUCGAAAGAUUAGCUAAUACCGCAUACGCCCUGAGGGGGAAAGUAGGGGAUCUUCGGACCUUACGUUAUAAGAGCGGCCGAUAUCUGAUUAGCUAGUUGGUGGGGUAAUGGCCUACCAAGGCUUCGAUCAGUAGCUGGUCUGAGAGGACGACCAGCCACACUGGAACUGAGACACGGUCCAGACUCCUACGGGAGGCAGCAGUGGGGAAUUUUGGACAAUGGGCGCAAGCCUGAUCCAGCCAUUCCGCGUGAGUGAAGAAGGCCUUCGGGUUGUAAAGCUCUUUCGCAAGGGAAGAAAACUUACUUUCUAAUAAAGAGUGAGGCUGACGGUACCUUGAUAAGAAGCACCGGCUAACUACGUGCCAGCAGCCGCGGUAAUACGUAGGGUGCGAGCGUUAAUCGGAAUUACUGGGCGUAAAGCGUGCGCAGGCGGUUUGGCAAGUCAGAUGUGAAAUCCCCGAGCUCAACUUGGGAACUGCGUUUGAAACUGCCAGACUAGAGUAUGUCAGAGGGGGGUAGAAUUCCACGUGUAGCAGUGA
RNAcentral lists this ribosomal RNA (612 nucleotides) under uncultured beta proteobacterium. RNAcentral's name for it is "bacterial SSU rRNA". It matches the Rfam family "Bacterial small subunit ribosomal RNA", at positions 76 to 684 of the family's 1533-position model. The record is from RNAcentral. Lineage: Bacteria; Pseudomonadati; Pseudomonadota; Betaproteobacteria.